Molecule: ribosomal RNA, 503 nt
Filed under: uncultured bacterium
Lineage: Bacteria
Description: partial 16S ribosomal RNA
Rfam family: Bacterial small subunit ribosomal RNA
Source: RNAcentral
AUCGAACGCUGGCGGCAUGCCUUACACAUGCAAGUCGAACGGCAGCACGGGAGCUUGCUCCUGGUGGCGAGUGGCGAACGGGUGAGUAAUACAUCGGAACGUGCCCAGUAGUGGGGGAUAGCCCGGCGAAAGCCGGAUUAAUACCGCAUACGACCUACGGGUGAAAGCGGGGGACCGUAAGGCCUCGCGCUAUUGGAGCGGCCGAUGUCUGAUUAGCUUGUUGGUGGGGUAAAAGCCCACCAAGGCGACGAUCAGUAGCUGGUCUGAGAGGACGAUCAGCCACACUGGGACUGAGACACGGCCCAGACUCCUACGGGAGGCAGCAGUGGGGAAUUUUGGACAAUGGGGGCAACCCUGAUCCAGCAAUGCCGCGUGUGCGAAGAAGGCCUUCGGGUUGUAAAGCACUUUUGACAGGGAAGAAAUCUUUCAGGCUAAUACCCUUGGAAGGAUGACGGUACCUGAAGAAUAAGCACCGGCUAACUACGUGCCAGCAGCCGCGGUAA